CCUACGGGAGGCAGCAGUGGGGAAUAUUGCACAAUGAGGGAAACCCUGAUGCAGCGACGCCGCGUGAGUGAAGAAGUACUUCGGUAUGUAAAGCUCUAUCAGCAGGGAAGAAAAUGACGGUACCUGAGUAAGAAGCCACGGCUAACUACGUGCCAGCCGCCGCGGUAAUACGUAGGGGGCAAGCGUUAUCCGGAUUUACGGGGGGUAAAGGGAGCGUAGACGGCAGUGCAAGUCUGGAGUGAAACGCGGGGGCUCAACCCCCGGACUGCUCUGGAAACUGGAAGGCUGGAGUGCAGGAGAGGUAAGUGGAAUUCCUAGGGUAGCGGUGAAAUGCGUAGAUAGUAGGAGGAACACCAGGGGCGAAGGCGGCUUACUGGACUGUAACUGACGUUGAGGCUCGAAAGCGUGGGGAGCAAACAGGAUUAGAUACCCGAGUAGUC
Molecule: ribosomal RNA, 440 nt
Filed under: uncultured bacterium
Lineage: Bacteria
Description: partial 16S ribosomal RNA
Rfam family: Bacterial small subunit ribosomal RNA
Source: RNAcentral